AGUGAAUGAAUUCUUACGGUGGAUUCCUUAACAAUGUAUCAUAAACCCUGUUUCUUGGAAGGUGACAUGUUUGAAAAGGUCCAGCAGAAGUAAGAGCUGAUAGAAAACACACUCUUCAACAAUUUAUGUGCCAUAGCCACUUUUCUUACUGUCUUCUCCCUAAUGUCCCACUUGUCCUCUAUUUUGUGACCAUUGUCCUUUUCUGUCCUUCGCAGUGAGCAGUUCCAGAUGUCRACUUUCACUAGGAGCAGUGGAUGCUGCGGUGAAAGGGUACAGGGUUUUCUGAAGAAACAGGUGAUAUAGUCCUGAAGCAGACUGACCACUUUGAUGGCAAUAAAGACAAACUAAUACUUCUUCAGGGCCUUCUAAAACCAUCUCAGGCGCAGAACAAAUCAAAAUCUCAUAUUAAGAUUUUUUUUCAUUGUGGGGAAUCAUGUUGGUUAUUGCAGAUACUACUUAUGCAACAUUUAAAAAAAAUGGCACUGUACUUUACUCUGAGCAUCCYUAUCUUUAAAACAAGCAGGGAAUAAAAUCAUUAGAGCAACUAUCUCUGGUUCUUAAGUGAUUCAGAUAUAUUUUAUCUCCUUUAUGUACUAAUCAGUGGCUUGUUUUCUCAGCACUUCUCUCACUGGUCAGUAAUAGUUUUCUUAUCAUUACUCUAUCUGAUAAUCUGAUUUUCUUGGUUCCGAUUAGAAAUAAUUCCUUCUUUGUUCUUUUCUGCAUGACUGUGUAUUCCCAGAAAUUCUGAGAAAAUGAUUUUUUUUCCUUAUUAGUCAUACUGUUUCAACAAAUGUACUUACUUUCCUCGCUUAUAUGUAUAAGAACUAUUGUGUUUCUGUAGAUUGCGCAGUUGGGCUUAAUCAGCAGGAAGUCGGUGAGGUCAAAAUGAAAAUAUAUCUGUUAGGUUUAAGGAUUAAAGAUGAUAUGGAGAAAUAACAUUGCUUACAAAGAGCAGACUUCAGAGUCGCCAAUGUGGUACUUUUCAUGAACGUUAUAGUCACUUAAACACCGUUUAUACUGAAAAAAAUCCAAGUCACAAUUUAAAGCUGUCAUCUUAACAACAGCUUUGAUCCUAUAUUAAGCUUGAGUAACAGAGUUUUAACUAUUUAAGGAACAACAACAACAACAAAAAAAAACAGGAUAUGAAGAACAGCAGAGGAACACUAUUCAAUAAUUUUCAGAAAAUUCCAGGCUGACAGACUACAAGGAGAAAGCUCUUUAAUUUUCAUUACUGUGAAAUUUAUAUGAACUUGUGUAAUCUGGAUAAUCUCCAUUGAUAUGAGCUGAAUGCUAGAGAAUUGCAUCAAGUAAUAAAUUAUUAAUUAACUGACA
Molecule: long non-coding RNA, 1332 nt
Filed under: Dromaius novaehollandiae (emu)
Lineage: Eukaryota; Metazoa; Chordata; Aves; Casuariiformes; Dromaiidae
Description: lncRNA (ENSDNVG00000003312.1)
Source: RNAcentral